This is a non-coding RNA of Pelobates cultripes (western spadefoot toad), 177 nucleotides long. The record is from the annotation of a GenBank genome assembly. NCBI's taxonomy places the organism in Eukaryota, Metazoa, Chordata, Amphibia, Anura, Pelobatidae.
AGGGGUAGGGUUAGAGUAGGGUUAGGGGUAGGGUUAGGGUUAGGAGUAGGGUUAGGGGUAGGGUUAGGAAUAGGGUUAGGGUUACCCUACCACUACCCUAACCCUACUCCAACCACUAACCCUACCCCAACCCCUAACCCUAUCCCUACCCCUAACCCUACCCCAACCCUUAACUCU